Molecule: long non-coding RNA, 514 nt
Organism: Cryptomeria japonica (Japanese cedar)
Lineage: Eukaryota; Viridiplantae; Streptophyta; Pinopsida; Cupressales; Cupressaceae
Exons: 3
Source: RefSeq, a predicted model, not a curated record
AGAAGCCCUAACCCUAGAAUUCUCAAGAAAAGAGGAACUUGGAGCCUUUAAAACCCCGAGCUAUUGACUUGGUGCAGCCGCGUUCUUAAUUCUGAGCUUCUGAUUGAAAUGUUAAUGCUUCAAAAUAAUAUUCCAAAAUGCAGCAACCAUGUGGGAAGCGAUAUGGUUAAUAAAUUUAUUUCGACGCCAUUGUCUAUCAGAAUGGGUGGAAUUGGAAAGAACACACUGGUCCGUUGUUUUUUCGCCCUUUUUUAUCACUAAAUGGCUUUCACAUACACAUCGGGCGAUAGGCGCAAGUUUUAUGCAACUUAAUUUUCAGUAUUACGCUUUUAUAUUUUCAAUUUAUUGAAUGCUCUAGUUAAAUAAUUAAUACUCGUGGUGUGAUUAGUCUUGCGUUUUUUUAGUGCUUCACUCUUAUGUCUUACAUUUAUUGAAUGCUAUAGUUAUUGUGUAGGGGAAAAAGCGAGACUAGGUUAACAUGCCCUAAUCCUACCUUUUGACACACAUUACGAAA